This 2904-nucleotide ribosomal RNA is filed under the name Escherichia coli TW11039. RNAcentral's name for it is "bacterial LSU rRNA". It matches the Rfam family "Bacterial large subunit ribosomal RNA". Lineage: Bacteria; Pseudomonadati; Pseudomonadota; Gammaproteobacteria; Enterobacterales; Enterobacteriaceae. The record is from RNAcentral.
UUAAGCGACUAAGCGUACACGGUGGAUGCCCUGGCAGUCAGAGGCGAUGAAGGACGUGCUAAUCUGCGAUAAGCGUCGGUAAGGUGAUAUGAACCGUUAUAACCGGCGAUUUCCGAAUGGGGAAACCCAGUGUGAUUCGUCACACUAUCAUUAACUGAAUCCAUAGGUUAAUGAGGCGAACCGGGGGGAACUGAAACAUCUAAGUACCCCGAGGAAAAGAAAUCAACCGAGAUUCCCCCAGUAGCGGCGAACGAACGGGGAGGAGCCCAGAGCCUGAAUCAGUGUGUGUGUUAGUGGAAGCGUCUGGAAAGGCGCGCGAUACAGGGUGACAGCCCCGUACACAAAAAUGCACAUACUGUGAGCUCGAUGAGUAGGGCGGGACACGUGGUAUCCUGUCUGAAUAUGGGGGGACCAUCCUCCAAGGCUAAAUACUCCUGACUGACCGAUAGUGAACCAGUACCGUGAGGGAAAGGCGAAAAGAACCCCGGCGAGGGGAGUGAAAAAGAACCUGAAACCGUGUACGUACAAGCAGUGGGAGCACAGAGCAAUCUGUGUGACUGCGUACCUUUUGUAUAAUGGGUCAGCGACUUAUAUUCUGUAGCAAGGUUAACCGAAUAGGGGAGCCGAAGGGAAACCGAGUCUUAACCGGGCGUUAAGUUGCAGGGUAUAGACCCGAAACCCGGUGAUCUAGCCAUGGGCAGGUUGAAGGUUGGGUAACACUAACUGGAGGACCGAACCGACUAAUGUUGAAAAAUUAGCGGAUGACUUGUGGCUGGGGGUGAAAGGCCAAUCAAACCGGGAGAUAGCUGGUUCUCCCCGAAAGCUAUUUAGGUAGCGCCUCGUGAAUUCAUCUCCGGGGGUAGAGCACUGUUUCGGCAAGGGGGUCAUCCCGACUUACCAACCCGAUGCAAACUGCGAAUACCGGAGAAUGUUAUCACGGGAGACACACGGCGGGUGCUAACGUCCGUCGUGAAGAGGGAAACAACCCAGACCGCCAGCUAAGGUCCCAAAGUCAUGGUUAAGUGGGAAACGAUGUGGGAAGGCCCAGACAGCCAGGAUGUUGGCUUAGAAGCAGCCAUCAUUUAAAGAAAGCGUAAUAGCUCACUGGUCGAGUCGGCCUGCGCGGAAGAUGUAACGGGGCUAAACCAUGCACCGAAGCUGCGGCAGCGACACUGUGUGUUGUUGGGUAGGGGAGCGUUCUGUAAGCCUGUGAAGGUGUGCUGUGAGGCAUGCUGGAGGUAUCAGAAGUGCGAAUGCUGACAUAAGUAACGAUAAAGCGGGUGAAAAGCCCGCUCGCCGGAAGACCAAGGGUUCCUGUCCAACGUUAAUCGGGGCAGGGUGAGUCGACCCCUAAGGCGAGGCCGAAAGGCGUAGUCGAUGGGAAACAGGUUAAUAUUCCUGUACUUGGUGUUACUGCGAAGGGGGGACGGAGAAGGCUAUGUUGGCCGGGCGACGGUUGUCCCGGUUUAAGCGUGUAGGCUGGUUUUCCAGGCAAAUCCGGAAAAUCAAGGCUGAGGCGUGAUGACGAGGCACUACGGUGCUGAAGCAACAAAUGCCCUGCUUCCAGGAAAAGCCUCUAAGCAUCAGGUAACAUCAAAUCGUACCCCAAACCGACACAGGUGGUCAGGUAGAGAAUACCAAGGCGCUUGAGAGAACUCGGGUGAAGGAACUAGGCAAAAUGGUGCCGUAACUUCGGGAGAAGGCACGCUGAUAUGUAGGUGAAGUCCCUCGCGGAUGGAGCUGAAAUCAGUCGAAGAUACCAGCUGGCUGCAACUGUUUAUUAAAAACACAGCACUGUGCAAACACGAAAGUGGACGUAUACGGUGUGACGCCUGCCCGGUGCCGGAAGGUUAAUUGAUGGGGUCAGCGCAAGCGAAGCUCUUGAUCGAAGCCCCGGUAAACGGCGGCCGUAACUAUAACGGUCCUAAGGUAGCGAAAUUCCUUGUCGGGUAAGUUCCGACCUGCACGAAUGGCGUAAUGAUGGCCAGGCUGUCUCCACCCGAGACUCAGUGAAAUUGAACUCGCUGUGAAGAUGCAGUGUACCCGCGGCAAGACGGAAAGACCCCGUGAACCUUUACUAUAGCUUGACACUGAACAUUGAGCCUUGAUGUGUAGGAUAGGUGGGAGGCUUUGAAGUGUGGACGCCAGUCUGCAUGGAGCCGACCUUGAAAUACCACCCUUUAAUGUUUGAUGUUCUAACGUGGACCCGUGAUCCGGGUUGCGGACAGUGUCUGGUGGGUAGUUUGACUGGGGCGGUCUCCUCCUAAAGAGUAACGGAGGAGCACGAAGGUUGGCUAAUCCUGGUCGGACAUCAGGAGGUUAGUGCAAUGGCAUAAGCCAGCUUGACUGCGAGCGUGACGGCGCGAGCAGGUGCGAAAGCAGGUCAUAGUGAUCCGGUGGUUCUGAAUGGAAGGGCCAUCGCUCAACGGAUAAAAGGUACUCCGGGGAUAACAGGCUGAUACCGCCCAAGAGUUCAUAUCGACGGCGGUGUUUGGCACCUCGAUGUCGGCUCAUCACAUCCUGGGGCUGAAGUAGGUCCCAAGGGUAUGGCUGUUCGCCAUUUAAAGUGGUACGCGAGCUGGGUUUAGAACGUCGUGAGACAGUUCGGUCCCUAUCUGCCGUGGGCGCUGGAGAACUGAGGGGGGCUGCUCCUAGUACGAGAGGACCGGAGUGGACGCAUCACUGGUGUUCGGGUUGUCAUGCCAAUGGCACUGCCCGGUAGCUAAAUGCGGAAGAGAUAAGUGCUGAAAGCAUCUAAGCACGAAACUUGCCCCGAGAUGAGUUCUCCCUGACCCUUUAAGGGUCCUGAAGGAACGUUGAAGACGACGACGUUGAUAGGCCGGGUGUGUAAGCGCAGCGAUGCGUUGAGCUAACCGGUACUAAUGAACCGUGAGGCUUAACCUU